CUUUAGGUACCUCAUGGUCUGGGAGUCUUUAGGUACCUCAUGGUCUGGGAGUCUUUAGGUACCUAACGGUCUGGGAGUCUUUAGGUACCUAAUGGUCUGAGAGUCUUUAGGUACCUAAUGGUCUGGGAGUCUUUAGGUACCUCAUGGUCUGGGAGUCUUUAGGUACCUCAUGGUCUGAGAGUCUUUAGGUACCUCAUGGUCUGGGAGUCUUUAGGUACCUUUUGGAAAACUCCAAGCGGGCUGUCAUGUGCUUUUUACUGAGGAGUGGCUUCCGUCUGGCCACUCUACCAUAAACUGGUGGAGUGUUGCAGAGAUGGGUUCUUGGUAACCUCCCUGACCAAGGCCCUUCUCCCCCGAUUGCUCAGUUUGGUCAAGGGGUCUGAAUACUUUCCGAAUGCAGUGUACAUUGUGUGUCCCCACAAGGUAAGUUAAACAAGAUGGCGAUUGUGUGUGUUUCCAGUAACAUCCCAAUAACAAAACAGCUUCUGUCUCAAGGUCAUCAGACUGUUAAACAGCCAUCACUAACAGAGUGGCUGCUGCCAACAUACAGACUCAAAUCUCUGGCCACUUUAAUAAAUGUCAUAAAUAGAUUUAAUACAGGUAUCACUAGUCACUUUAAAUAACACCACUUUAAUCAUGUCCUCAUUUCCUACAUUACUCAUCUCAUAUGUACAUACUGUAUUUUAUACCAUCUAUUGCAUCUUACCUAUGCCACAUGGCCAUCGCUCAUUCAUAUAUUUAUAUGUACAUAUACUUAUUCACCCCUUUACAUUUGUGUGUAUAAGGUAGUCGUUGUGAAUUUGUUAGAUUACUUGUUAGAUAUUACUGCACUGUCGGAACU
This is a long non-coding RNA of Oncorhynchus tshawytscha (Chinook salmon), 841 nucleotides long. The record is from Ensembl. Lineage: Eukaryota; Metazoa; Chordata; Actinopteri; Salmoniformes; Salmonidae.